This 501-nucleotide ribosomal RNA is filed under the name uncultured bacterium. RNAcentral describes it as "partial 16S ribosomal RNA". It matches the Rfam family "Bacterial small subunit ribosomal RNA", at positions 29 to 523 of the family's 1533-position model. The record is from RNAcentral.
AUUGAACGCUGGCGGCAUGCCUUACACAUGCAAGUCGAACGGCAGCACGGGUGCUUGCACCUGGUGGCGAGUGGCGAACGGGUGAGUAAUACAUCGGAACGUACCUUAUCGUGGGGGAUAACGCGGCGAAAGCUGUGCUAAUACCGCAUACGCCCUGAGGGGGAAAGCGGGGGAUCGCAAGACCUCGCGCGAUUAGAGCGGCCGAUGCCUGAUUAGCUUGUUGGUGGGGUAAAAGCCCACCAAGGCGACGAUCAGUAGCUGGUCUGAGAGGACGAUCAACCACACUGGGACUGGGACACGGGCCAGACUCCUACGGGAGGCAGCAGUGGGGAAUUUUGGACAAUGGGGGCAACACUGAUCCAGCAAUGCCGCGUGAGUGAAGAAGGCCUUCGGGUUGUAAAGCUCUUUUGUCAGGGAAGAAACACCGGCUCUAACACAGUCCGGGAAUGACGGUACCUGAAGAAUAAGCACCGGCUAACUACGUGCCAGCAGCCGCAGUAA